GAUGAACGCUGGCGGCGUGCCUAAUACAUGCAAGUCGAGCGAACGGACGAGAAGCUUGCUUCUCUGAUGUUAGCGGCGGACGGGUGAGUAACACGUGGAUAACCUACCUAUAAGACUGGGAUAACUUCGGGAAACCGUAGCUAAUACCGGAUAAUAUUUUGAACCGCAUGGUUCAAAAGUGAAAGACGGUCUUGCUGUCACUUAUAGAUGGAUCCGCGCUGCAUUAGCUAGUUGGUAAGGUAACGGCUUACCAAGGCAACGAUGCAUAGCCGACCUGAGAGGGUGAUUGGCCACACUGGAACUGAGAGACGGUCCAGACCCCUACGGGAGGCAGGAGUAGGGAAUCUUCCGUGAUGGGCGAAAGCCUGACGGAGCAACGCCGCGUGAGUGAUGAAGGUCUUCGGAUCGGAAAACUCUGUUAUUAGGGAAGAACAUAUGUGUAAGUAACUGUGCACAUCUUGACGGUACCUAAUCAGAAAGCCACGGCUAACUACGUG
Molecule: ribosomal RNA, 497 nt
Filed under: uncultured bacterium
Lineage: Bacteria
Description: partial 16S ribosomal RNA
Rfam family: Bacterial small subunit ribosomal RNA
Source: RNAcentral